Molecule: ribosomal RNA, 253 nt
Filed under: uncultured bacterium
Lineage: Bacteria
Description: partial 16S ribosomal RNA
Rfam family: Bacterial small subunit ribosomal RNA
Source: RNAcentral
UACGUAGGGGGCUAGCGUUGUCCGGAAUCAUUGGGCGUAAAGCGCGUGUAGGCGGCCCGGUAAGUCCGCUGUGAAAGUCGGGGGCUCAACCCUCGGAUGCCGGUGAAUACUGUCGGGCUCGAGUACGGAAGAGGCGAGUGGAAUUCCUGGUGUAGCGGUGAAAUGCGCAGAUAUCAGGAGGAACACCAAUUGCGAAGGCAGCUCGCUGGGACGUUACUGACGCUGAGACGCGAAAGCGUGGGGAGCAAACAGG